RNAcentral lists this ribosomal RNA (374 nucleotides) under uncultured organism. RNAcentral's name for it is "partial 16S ribosomal RNA". It matches the Rfam family "Bacterial small subunit ribosomal RNA", at positions 527 to 896 of the family's 1533-position model. The record is from RNAcentral.
GAACCGUACAAACGUUAUUCGGAAUCACUGGGCUUAAAGGGUGCGUAGGCGGCGUGGCAAGCUGGGUGUGAAAUCCCCCGGCUCAACCGGGGAACUGCGCCCAAAACUGCCAUGCUAGAGGGAGACAGGGGUGAGCGGAACUUAGGGUGGAGCGGUGAAAUGCGUUGAUAUCCUAAGGAACACCGGUGGCGAAGGCGGCUCACUGGGUCUCUUCUGACGCUGAGGCACGAAAGCUAGGGGAGCGAACGGGAUUAGAUACCCCGGGUAGUCCUAGCUGUAAACGAUGAGCACUUGGUUGGAGACUCCCUCCCAUAGGUUUCCGGCCGUAGCGAAAGUGUUAAGUGCUCCGCCUGGGGAGUAUGUCCGCAAGGAUG